Molecule: ribosomal RNA, 640 nt
Filed under: uncultured Alphaproteobacteria bacterium
Lineage: Bacteria; Pseudomonadati; Pseudomonadota; Alphaproteobacteria
Description: bacterial SSU rRNA
Rfam family: Bacterial small subunit ribosomal RNA
Source: RNAcentral
GAUCGGCCCGCGUCUGAUUAGCUAGUUGGUGAGGUAAGAGCUUACCAAGGCAACGAUCGGUAGCUGGUCUGAGAGGACGAUCAGCCACACUGGGACUGAGACACGGCCCAAACUCCUACGGGAGGCAGCAGUGGGGAAUAUUGGACAAUGGGCGCAAGCCUGAUCCAGCCAUGCCGCGUGAGUGAUGAAGGCCUUCGGGUUGUAAAGCUCUUUUGGCGGGGACAAUGAUGACGGUACCCGCAGAAUAAGCCCCGGCAAACUUCGUGCCAGCAGCCGCGGUAAGACGAAGGGGGCAAGCGUUGUUCGGAAUUACUGGGCGUAAAGGGCGCGUAGGCGGCUCGUUAAGUCAGGCGUGAAAGCCCUGGGCUCAACCUGGGAAUGGCGCUUGAUACUGAGGGGCUGGAGAGCGGGAGAGGAUGGUGGAAUUCCCAGUGUAGAGGUGAAAUUCGUAGAUAUUGGGAAGAACACCGGUGGCGAAGGCGGCCAUCUGGACCGUAUCUGACGCUGAGGCGCGAAAGCGUGGGGAGCAAAACGGAUUAGAUACCCUGGUAGUCCACGCUGUAAACGAUGAAUGCUGGAACUUGCGGAACUUGCUCUGCGGUGUCGUAACUAAAGCGAAAAGCACUCCGCCUGGGGAGUA